CCUAGGGGAGGCAGCAGUGAGGAAUAUUGGUCAAUGGGCGUGAGCCUGAACCAGCCAAGUCGCGUGAGGGAAGACGGUCCUAUGGAUUGUAAACCUCUUUUGCCGGGGAGCAAAAAGCGGUACGUGUAGCGUUAUCGAGAGUACCUGAAGAAAAAGCAUCGGCUAACUCCGUGCCAGCAGCCGCGGUAAUACGGAGGAUGCGAGCGUUAUCCGGAUUUAUUGGGUUUAAAGGGUGCGUAGGCGGAAUGCCAAGUCAGCGGUAAAAUCGCGGGGCUCAACCUCGCUCCGCCGUUGAAACUGGCGUUCUUGAGUGGGCGAGAAGUAUGCGGAAUGCGUGGUGUAGCGGUGAAAUGCAUAGAUAUCACGCAGAACUCCGAUUGCGAAGGCAGCAUACCGGCGCCCAACUGACGCUGAAGCACGAAAGCGUGGGUAUCGAACAGGAUUAGAUACCCGAGUAGUC
Molecule: ribosomal RNA, 460 nt
Filed under: uncultured bacterium
Lineage: Bacteria
Description: partial 16S ribosomal RNA
Rfam family: Bacterial small subunit ribosomal RNA
Source: RNAcentral